GAGUUUGAUCUUGGCUCAGAUUGAACGCUGGCGGCAGGCCUAACACAUGCAAGUCGAGCGGAUGACGGGAGCUUGCUCCUUGAUUCAGCGGCGGACGGGUGAGUAAUGCCUGGGAAUCUGCCUGGUAGUGGGGGACAACAUUUCGAAAGGAACGCUAAUACCGCAUACGUCCUACGGGAGAAAGCAGGGGACCUUCGGGCCUUGCGCUAUCAGAUGAGCCUAGGUCGGAUUAGCUAGUUGGUGGGGUAAUGGCUCACCAAGGCGACGAUCCGUAACUGGUCUGAGAGGAUGAUCAGUCACACUGGAACUGAGACACGGUCCAGACUCCUACGGGAGGCAGCAGUGGGGAAUAUUGGACAAUGGGCGAAAGCCUGAUCCAGCCAUGCCGCGUGUGUGAAGAAGGUCUUCGGAUUGUAAAGCACUUUAAGUUGGGAGGAAGGGCAGUAAGUUAAUACCUUGCUGUUUUGACGUUACCGACAGAAUAAGCACCGGCUAACUCUGUGCCAGCA
RNAcentral lists this ribosomal RNA (509 nucleotides) under bacterium enrichment culture clone ALO1_GLFRUDD03GNMXJ. RNAcentral describes it as "bacterial SSU rRNA". It matches the Rfam family "Bacterial small subunit ribosomal RNA", at positions 9 to 513 of the family's 1533-position model. The record is from RNAcentral.